Non-coding RNA from Capra hircus (goat), 669 nucleotides. Lineage: Eukaryota; Metazoa; Chordata; Mammalia; Artiodactyla; Bovidae. The record is from the annotation of a RefSeq genome assembly.
CACUUAAAUUCAGGUUCCUCCUCAGGCUUGAAGAGAUCUCCAGGAGUGGUGACUCUCAUCUGCUCCAAGAUGAACCCACUGUGGACCCUCCUCUUUGUGCUGUCAGCCCCCAGAGGGGUCCUGUCGCAGGUGCAGCUGCAGGAGUCGGGACCCAGCCUGGUGAAGCCCUCACAGACCCUCUCCCUCACCUGCACGGUCUCUGGAGUCUCAUUAACCAGCUAUGCUGUAGGCUGGGUCCGCCAGGCUCCAGGAAAGGCGCUGGAGUGGCUUGGUAUCAUAUAUAGUGGUGGAAGUACAUACUAUAACUCGGCCCUGAAAUCCCGGCUCAGCAUCACCAGGGACACCUCCAAGAGCCAAGUCUCCCUGUCACUGAGCAGCGUGACAACUGAGGACACAGCCGUGUACUACUGUGCAAGAGACACAGUGAGGGGAAGUCAGUGUGAGCCCAGACAAAAACCUCCCUGCAUAGGGGCCCGUGCCCACCAGGGGGCGCACAGGUCUCACUACGCGGCAGCACCCCGGAGCAGGUGCAGAAGCAGCCUUGGGCGGUGGGAGGCCUGGGGGGAUUUUCCUAGAGAUUCUCUUUCCUCCUCCUGCCCAGGAGCUGCACCAAGACCCUCUUCUGUGUCCUGGUAUUUCAUUGUUAUGGUUUAAGUCACUCUCAGACAA